Molecule: ribosomal RNA, 492 nt
Filed under: uncultured bacterium
Lineage: Bacteria
Description: partial 16S ribosomal RNA
Rfam family: Bacterial small subunit ribosomal RNA
Source: RNAcentral
AGUGAACGCUGGCGGUAGGCCUAACACAUGCAAGUCGAACGGCCGCACAGUAAGAGCUUGCUCUUACGGGUGGCGAGUGGCGGACGGGUGAGGAAUACAUCGGAAUCUACUUUUUCGUGGGGGAUAACGUAGGGAAACUUACGCUACUACCGCAUACGUCCUACGGGUGAAAGCAGGGGAUCUUCGGACCUUGCGCGAUUGAAUUAGCCGAUGUCGGAUUAGCUAGUUGGCGGGGUAAAGGCCCACCAAGGCGACGAUCCGUAGCUGGUCUGAGAGGAUGAUCAGCCACACUGGAACUGAGACACGGUCCAGACUCCUACGGGAGGCAGCAGUGGGGAAUAUUGGACAAUGGGCGAAAGCCUGAUCCAGCCAUACCGCGUGGGUGAAGAAGGCCUUCGGGUUGUAAAGCCCUUUUGUUGGGAAAGAAAAGCAGCGGGUUAAUACCCCGCUGUCCUGACGGUACCCAAAGAAUAAGCACCGGCUAACUUCGUG